RNAcentral lists this long non-coding RNA (364 nucleotides) under Physcomitrium patens. Its description in RNAcentral is "long non-coding RNA (PPAT_LNC004433)". The record is from RNAcentral. Lineage: Eukaryota; Viridiplantae; Streptophyta; Bryopsida; Funariales; Funariaceae.
ACUGUUAAUCUUCGAUACCGCUUUGUACUUACGAUCUUGUAUCCACUGACUGUCUUGUUAGAUUAACCCAAUAAAUUUCAUUCACUCCGCAUACUCAAUCCUAUAGACACCCUUUUAAUUCUCUAAUCACAGACGUAACUCCGAUUUCACAAAACAGUCAAGAGUGAUCACACCCACUUCAUUAAAAAUCCCGAUUCACCAUUACAACACUGACUUCAGCAACGAUUGCCUCAGUCUUCCCAAAACCCUAUGAAGAAGAAAAAUCCAAUUCUCUGUCUUUUCUUCCCCGACCACGAAGCAUGAAGCUAGCUCUCUCCAAUCCUGAUCUUCAAAAAACCUCCCCAAAAAACUUCUUCCCCCCCUA